CCUACGGGCGGCAGCAGUGAGGAAUUUUCCGCAAUGGACGCAAGUCUGACGGAGCAACGCCGCGUGCAGGAUGACGGCCUUCGGGUUGUAAACUGCUUUUCUGUGAGACGAGAACGGACGGUAUCACAGGAAUCAGCCCCGGCUAACUACGUGCCAGCAGCCGCGGUAAUACGUAGGGGGCGAGCGUUGUCCGGAGUUACUGGGCGUAAAGCGCACGCAGGCGGUUCUGCGCGUUUCCGGUGCCAGCUCGCUGCUUAACGGCGAGAGUGCCGGGAAGACGGUGGGACUUGAGGGCCUCAGAGGGACAUAGAAUUCCGGGUGGAGUGGUGAAAUGCGUAGAUAUCCGGAGGAAUACCAAAGGCGAAGGCAGUGUCCUGGGAGGUGACUGACGCUGAGGUGCGAAAGCCAGGGGAGCGAACGGGAUUAGAUACCCCGGUAGUC
This 441-nucleotide ribosomal RNA is filed under the name uncultured bacterium. RNAcentral describes it as "bacterial SSU rRNA". It matches the Rfam family "Bacterial small subunit ribosomal RNA", at positions 338 to 795 of the family's 1533-position model. The record is from RNAcentral.